RNAcentral lists this ribosomal RNA (1701 nucleotides) under Scopelogadus mizolepis. Its description in RNAcentral is "16S rRNA". The stretch from base 67 to 1585 matches the Rfam family "Bacterial large subunit ribosomal RNA". Lineage: Eukaryota; Metazoa; Chordata; Actinopteri; Beryciformes; Melamphaidae. The record is from RNAcentral.
CGCCUCACAACUAGCCCAAAGAUAUUUUAAAUCAACAACUAAUUAUUUAUACCCCUUGAAUUCCCCAAAGAGACAAACAAACCAUUUUCCCUUCUUAGUAUGGGAGACAGAAAAGAAAAUCAGGAGCAAUAGAAAUAGUACCGCAAGGGAAAGUUGAAAAAGAAAUGAAAUAAACCAUUUAAGCCCUAAAAAGCAGAGAUAUAGCCUCGUACCUUUUGCAUCAUGACUUAGCCAGCACUAUUCGAGCACAGCGUUCUUUAGUUCGACACCCCGAAACUAGACGAGCUACUCCAAGACAGCCUAUAAUAAUAGGGCAAACCCGUCUCUGUCGCAAAAGAGUGGGAAGAGCUUUGAGUAGCGGUGACAGACCUAUCGAGUCUAGUUAUAGCUGGUUGCCCAAGAAAUGGAUAUAAGUUCAGCCCCUUAGAUUUUCCCGCCCCCGCCCAGUCUUCACUAAAACUGGACUACAAGGCAAGCUAAGGGUGUUAGUCAAAGGAGGUACAGCUCCUUUGAAACAAGACACAACUUUAUCAGGAGGGUAAAGAUCAUAAGUACCAAGGAAAAUAUUGUGCCCCAGUGGGCCUAAAAGCAGCCAUCCGCACAGAAAGCGUUAAAGCUCAGACACUCCUCCCCCACCUUAAAUCCCGACAAAUAUAUCUUAACCCCCUAAUCCUAUUGGGCCCUCCCAUGCCCCCAUGGAAAAAAUACUGCUAACAUGAGUAACAAGAAAACCCCAGAUUUUCUCCUUGCACACAUGUAAGUCGGAUCGGACUCCCCACCGACCCCUAACCGGACCCAAUCAAAGAGGGUAUGAAAGAGACGAGUAGCCCCCAAGAAAACCAUUUGAUUACCCACCGUUAACCCCACACUGGCGUGCCCACAAGGAAAGACUAAAAGAGAAAAAAGGAACUCGGCAAACAUAAGCCUCGCCUGUUUACCAAAAACACCGCCUCUUGCCAACAAAAUAUAAGAGGUCCCGCCUGCCCUGUGACUAUAUGUUUAACGGCCGCGGUAUUUUGACCGUGCAAAGGUAGCGCAAUCACUUGUCUUUUAAAUGAAGACCCGUAUGAAUGGCUUGACGAGGGCUUAGCUGUCUCUUUUCUCUAGUCAGUGAAAUUGAUCUCCCCGUGCAGAAGCGGGGAUAUUUACAUAAGACGAGAAGACCCUAUGAAGCUUUAGACGCAAAGCGAACCAAACCACCCUGCCCAAAAAUCAAAAGGGGCAAUAAAAUGGCACCCCGCUCAAUGUCUUUGGUUGGGGCGACCCUGGGGAAAAACGAAACCCCCGCGCGGAACAGAAAACACUCCUUCCACAACCAAGAGCCCCCGCUCUAAGUAACAGAACAUCUGACCAUUAACGAUCCAGCAAGCUGAUCAACGGACCAAGUUACUCUAGGGAUAACAGCGCAAUCCCCUCCCAGAGCCCAUAUCGACGAGGGGGUUUACGACCUCGAUGUUGGAUCAGGAUAUCCUACUGGUGUAGCCGCUAUUAAGGGUUCGUUUGUUCAACGAUUAAAAUCCUACGUGAUCUGAGUUCAGACCGGAGUAAUCCAGGUCAGUUUCUAUCUAUGAUGUGAUCUCUUUCUAGUACGAAAGGACCGAAGAGAAAAGGCCCCUGCUAAAGGCACACCUUCCCCCCGCCUAAUGAAUUCAACUAAAAUAGGAAAGGGAGCACAUCCCCUUAAGCCCAAAAUUAGGGCCU